ACCGAGUAGAAGUGCCUGCGUGGUGUCCACACAGAUUGUCUGAUGAUAAGAAAGAGUCAAAAGCGUCUUGCGAAGCUGACAAGUGAUGUCCCCUUCGUCUAGAGGCCCAGGACACCGCCCUUUCACGGCGGUAACAGGGGUUCGAAUCCCCUAGGGGACGCCAAUGACUGACAGUGGGUGAAAGGCACGGUCAACGCUAACCUAAAACUGAUUAGAAAUAGUCAGGUUUAUGUUAUCUGCUCUUUAACAAUCCGGAACAAGCUGAAUAAUUUGAAACGACGGCAUGUGAAUGAAAAUUCAUGUGUUGUUGGAGUCUC
RNAcentral lists this unclassified non-coding RNA (317 nucleotides) under Dickeya zeae. RNAcentral's name for it is "partial 16S-23S ribosomal RNA intergenic spacer". The stretch from base 88 to 160 matches the Rfam family "tRNA". Lineage: Bacteria; Pseudomonadati; Pseudomonadota; Gammaproteobacteria; Enterobacterales; Pectobacteriaceae. The record is from RNAcentral.